RNAcentral lists this ribosomal RNA (460 nucleotides) under uncultured bacterium. RNAcentral's name for it is "partial 16S ribosomal RNA". It matches the Rfam family "Bacterial small subunit ribosomal RNA", at positions 339 to 795 of the family's 1533-position model. The record is from RNAcentral.
CUACGGGUGGCAGCAGUAAGGAAUAUUGCGCAAUGGAGGCAACUCUGACGCAGCCAUGCCGCGUGCAGGACUGAAGGCCUUAUGGGUCGUAAACUGCUUUUAUUUAGGAAUAAACUCUUGUACGUGUACGAGACUGAAGGUACUAAAUGAAUAAGCACCGGCUAACUCCGUGCCAGCAGCCGCGGUAAUACGGAGGGUGCAGGCGUUAUCCGGAUUUAUUGGGUUUAAAGGGUGCGCAGGCGGACUAUUAAGUCAGAGGUGAAAUCCCGGAGCUCAACUUCGGAACUGCCUUUGAUACUGGUAGUCUUGAAUACGGUUGAAGUAGGCGGAAUGUAGCAUGUAGCGGUGAAAUGCAUAGAGAUGCUACAGAACACCGAUCGCGAAGGCAGCUUACUAAGCCGAUAUUGACGCUCAGGCACGAAAGCGUGGGGAGCGAACAGGAUUAGAUACCCGGGUAGUC